Arabidopsis lyrata subsp. lyrata is the source of this 736-nucleotide long non-coding RNA. RefSeq lists it as uncharacterized. The transcript has 3 exons. The record is from RefSeq and is a predicted model, not a curated record. Lineage: Eukaryota; Viridiplantae; Streptophyta; Magnoliopsida; Brassicales; Brassicaceae.
AACCAAAGUUGCGUUAUCGAACUUGCUAAUGUCUGAUUCUGUUGAUGAAAAGCUGAGAUCUUAUUCUUCACUGUUACCAAAUUGAUGUGAAUGACCGAGUCCGAUGAGGAAUGAAUAUUAUGAUGGUAUUUAUUGUUUUUUUCUCUUUAGAAAAGAUAAAUUAAGAGUAGAUUAUUCCAAGAGAAAGUAGUUCGGUUGACGCAAAAUUGCUGAGGAAAGAGGUCCCCAAGAUAGAUUGAGAGUUGCAAGCAAAGAAGAUAUGGUUUCUGGAUUACGGACAUUGAUUGCAGAGAAGACACGAAGGGUCUACAGGCCCAAAAGGCCAAAAGGAGUCCAAGGAUCUUUCCAGAAUCGAAUAGAAUGACUAUUGUCAUAAACAUCAGCAAAAGCUUGAGGGAACAUGUUUGAUUCCAAUCCAGUAGAUUCUCACUACCAAGCCUCAUUCCUUUUUUGGAGAGGUAAGGACUCCCCAAGCUAUUUUACUCUCCUUAUGAAAUUACAUCGUAAAUCAAAAUUUUUAAUAAUGAAUUUGAAAAUCCAUAGAAUAACAUAGAUUCAAUAAUAGACAUAAAGAUGAUACUUGGGUAGGUAUACUAAACUCAAAAUCAGUUUCUUUCUCAACAUUGCCUUUGUGAUGACUUACCUACAUAGGAAAAAUGAAACAUGUUUUAAGUACGAUAUGUACAUAAUUUCAAAAGGCAAGAAACAAAGCUAAAGUAAAUGUACCUUUAAAGAA